GCUAAGACUGGAUAGGAAGUUUUAAGGCAUCUUGAAACUUUUAAAAGACCCGCAAGGGUAUGCUGAGAGAUGGGCUUGCGGCACAUUAGUUAGUUGGUAAGGUAACGGCUUACCAAGACCAUGAUGUGUAGCUGGACUGAGAGGUUGAACGGCCACAUUGGGACUGAGAUACGGCCCAAACUCCUACGGGAGGCAGCAGUAAGGAAUUUUCGGCAAUGGAGGAAACUCUGACCGAGCAACGCCGCGUGAACGAUGAAGUAUUUAGGUAUGUAAAGUUCUUUUAUUAAAGAAGAAAAAAUGAUGGAAAAAUCAUUCUGACGGUAUUUAAUGAAUAAGCCCCGGCUAACUAUGUGCCAGCAGCUGCGGUAAUACAUGGGGGGCAAGCGUUAUCCGGAUUUAUUGGGCGUAAAGGGUGCGUAGGCGGUUUAAUAAGUCUAUGGUCUAAGUUCAACGCUUAACGUUGUGAUGCUAUAGAAACUGUUUGACUAGAGUUGGAUAGAGGCAAGCGGAAUUCCAUGUGUAGCGGUAAAAUGCGUAAAGAUAUGGAGGAACACCAGUAGCGAAGGCGGCUUGCUGGGUCUUAACUGACGCUGAGGCACGAAAGCGUGGGGAGCAAACAGGAUUAGAUACCCUGGUAGUCCACGCCGUAAACGAUGAGUACUAAGUGUUGGGUUAAACCAGUGCUGAAGUUAACGCAUUAAGUACUCCGCCUGAGUAGUACGUACGCAAGUAUGAAACUUAAAGGAAUUGACGGGACUCCGCACAAGCGGUGGAUCAUGUUGUUUAAUUCGAAGAUACACGAAAAACCUUACCAGGUCUUGACAUACUCUGCAAAGCUAUAGAAAUAUAGUGGAGGUUAUCAGGGAUACAGGUGGUGCAUGGUUGUCGUCAGCUCGUGUCGUGAGAUGUUGGGUUAAGUCCCGCAACGAGCGCAACCCUUAUCGCUAGUUACCAUCAUUUAGUUGGGCACUUUAGUGAGACUGCCAAUGAUAAAUUGGAGGAAGGUGGGGAUUACGUCAAAUCAUCAUGCCCCUUAUGACCUGGGCUACAAACGUGAUACAAUGGCUGUUACAAAGAGUAGCUGAAGCGUGAGUUUUUAGCAAAUCUCAAAAAAACAGUCUCAGUUCGGAUUGAAGUCUGCAACUCGACUUCAUGAAGUCGGAAUCGCUAGUAAUCGCGAAUCAGCAUGUCGUGGUGAAUACGUUCUCGGGGUUUGUACACGCCGCCCGUCAAA
This 1234-nucleotide ribosomal RNA is filed under the name Candidatus Phytoplasma pyri. Its description in RNAcentral is "bacterial SSU rRNA". It matches the Rfam family "Bacterial small subunit ribosomal RNA", at positions 162 to 1401 of the family's 1533-position model. Lineage: Bacteria; Bacillati; Mycoplasmatota; Mollicutes; Acholeplasmatales; Acholeplasmataceae. The record is from RNAcentral.